GAGGGUAUAGCUCAAGUGGUAGAGCACAUGCUUAACAUGCUUGAGGCCUUGGGUUCAAUCCCCAGUACCUCCU
Molecule: transfer RNA, 73 nt
Filed under: Camelus bactrianus (Bactrian camel)
Lineage: Eukaryota; Metazoa; Chordata; Mammalia; Artiodactyla; Camelidae
Also listed under: 2 other names
Rfam family: tRNA
About the family: Transfer RNA (tRNA) molecules are approximately 80 nucleotides in length. Their secondary structure includes four short double-helical elements and three loops (D, anti-codon, and T loops). Further hydrogen bonds mediate the characteristic L-shaped molecular structure. tRNAs have two regions of fundamental functional importance: the anti-codon, which is responsible for specific mRNA codon recognition, and the 3' end, to which the tRNAs corresponding amino acid is attached (by aminoacyl-tRNA synthetases). tRNAs cope with the degeneracy of the genetic code in two manners: having more than one tRNA (with a specific anti-codon) for a particular amino acid; and 'wobble' base-pairing, i.e. permitting non-standard base-pairing at the 3rd anti-codon position.
Source: Rfam by way of RNAcentral